Molecule: ribosomal RNA, 254 nt
Filed under: uncultured bacterium
Lineage: Bacteria
Description: partial 16S ribosomal RNA
Rfam family: Bacterial small subunit ribosomal RNA
Source: RNAcentral
UACGGAGGGUGCAAGCGUUUAUCCGGAUUCACUGGGUUUAAAGGGUGCGUAGGUGGGCCUGUAAGUCAGCGGUGAAAUCUCCGGGCUUAACCCGGAAACUGCCAUUGAUACUAUAGGUCUUGAAUUAUCUGGAGGUAAGCGGAAUAUGUCAUGUAGCGGUGAAAUGCUUAGAUAUGACAUAGAACACCAAUUGCGAAGGCAGCUUACUACGGAUAUAUUGACACUGAGGCACGAAAGCGUGGGGAUCAAACAGG